This is a long non-coding RNA of Ostrinia nubilalis (European corn borer), 271 nucleotides long. RefSeq lists it as uncharacterized. The transcript has 3 exons. The record is from RefSeq and is a predicted model, not a curated record. NCBI's taxonomy places the organism in Eukaryota, Metazoa, Arthropoda, Insecta, Lepidoptera, Crambidae.
CCCAAGUGAUUCGUCGUAGAAAUGCUGCUUCUUCAUCAAUACGUCAAGUGAACAUAUCACGGUCGACGCCAAUAUCUUCCCCUUCCCGCCGCACCAGAGUUCAUGCUAGUCGAGAACCCGAAUCUGUAUUGUCGCGUCACACAGCUCCUCCACUUUCUACUGUUGCUGCUCCACCGUCUCAACGGCGAACUGAAUUCUCAACGUUUACUGCGAGAUUCCUAAGGGUGGAAGAACAGCAGCUGGAAAUUCAAAGGUCUUUCGUGCAAAUCCU